CCUUCCAAUGCGCCGUCUUGUCCUCUCGCUCGCCUCCUUUCAGCAGCGGCGGCCCUGCAAGCAAGCCGGACAAAUGUGAACGCAACACCUGACCGAUCGAUAGUGAAGGGAAGCUGACCCGAUCGCUGGCGCUGGAGACGGUGGUUAGUGUUGGGAGAGGGAAGAAGAGAGAGAGAGAGAGAGUGAAGAUAGAGAAGUCGGCGCUGGAGGGGGGAGGAGGAAAGAGGCGGGGAGAAGGCGGCGGACAGAUAGAUGCCUGGCCGCUAUCCGCGGUGCUGAAUGAUUAGCCCAGUGCACGUCUCCACCUCCCGCGGCAGCACCCCAGGAAAGAGACCUCCCUCCACGACAUGUCUGAUCGAGGAGAUGGGCAAGGGCGACGACAACGAUCGCAUCGUGAUAAACGUGGGCGGGACUAGGCACGAAACGUACCGGAGCACCCUGAAGACCCUGCCCGGCACUCGGCUGGCAUGGCUCACCGAACCCGGCGCCUUCGCCAAUUUCGACUACGACCCCAAAGCGGGCGAGUUCUUCUUCGAUCGCCACCCGGGCGUCUUCGCUCACAUCCUCAACUACUACCGCACGGGCAAACUGCACUGCCCGGCCGACGUGUGCGGACCCUUGUACGAGGAAGAGAUCGCCUUCUGGGGCAUCGAUGAGACGGACGUGGAGCCCUGUUGCUGGAUGACCUACCGGCAGCACCGCGAUGCAGAGGAGGCUCUGGACAGCUUCGAGCCCCCCGACCUCAACAGCGGAGACGGUGACGCCGGCGGCGGGGGAGACGGGGUCGGGGACUCGGAAGACGAACUGGACACCAAGCGACUCGCCCUGGGAGACUGUUCCCCCGAAGCCGGAGCGAAAGCCGGCUGGUGGAGAAAAUGGCAACGCCGCAUCUGGGCUCUCUUUGAAGACCCCUACUCCUCGAAAUACGCGCGGUACUGUGCUUUUGCUUCGCUUUUCUUCAUCUUGGUGUCAAUCAGCACCUUCUGCCUGGAGACCCAUGAAGCGUUCAACCCAAUCGUUAACAGAACGGAGAAUGUAACGCGAGGAAAUGAAACCACGGUGGAAAUUAGUCAGGAAACAGAAACCGAAGCUUUCUUAAUGUAUAUUGAAGGAGUCUGUGUGGUAUGGUUUACGUUUGAAUUUCUGAUGAGGAUCACUUUCUGUCCAAACAAAGUGGAGUUUAUCAAGAAUACUCUCAAUAUCAUAGACUUUGUGGCCAUUCUGCCCUUCUAUCUGGAGGUAGGACUCAGUGCUUUGUCUUCCAAAGCGGCUAAGGAUGUGCUGGGCUUCCUGAGAGUGGUUCGCUUUGUCCGAAUCCUGCGAAUCUUCAAGCUGACCCGUCAUUUUGUAGGACUGAGAGUUUUAGGACAUACUUUGCGUGCAAGCACCAAUGAAUUUCUGCUGCUCAUCAUCUUCUUGGCACUUGGCGUCCUGAUAUUUGCCACCAUGAUCUACUAUGCCGAGCGGAUAGGAGCUAAUCCCCAUGACCUGAGAGCCGAUAACCACACACACUUCAAAAAUAUUCCGAUUGGAUUUUGGUGGGCCGUAGUAACCAUGACUACACUUGGCUAUGGAGACAUGUAUCCUCAGACAUGGUCGGGCAUGUUGGUAGGAGCCCUCUGUGCUCUUUCGGGUGUGCUGACCAUUGCUAUGCCUGUCCCUGUCAUUGUCAAUAAUUUUGGAAUGUAUUACUCCUUAGCGAUGGCCAAACAAAAAUUACCAAAGAAGAAAAAGAAGCAUAUACCGAGACCGCCCCAGCUGGGAUCCCCCAAUUAUUGUAAAUCUGGUGUAAACUCUCCACAUCACAGUACACAGAGUGACACAUGCCCACUCGCUCAGGAAGAGAUUUUAGAAAUUAACAGAGCAGAUUUUAAACAGAACGGUGAUGCAGCAAAUGCAGCAUUGGCAAACGAAGAUUGUCCUCAUAUUGACCAGGCACAGACGCCUGAAGAUCACCUCCCCUUCACUCGUUCUAACACCAGGGAGAGGAAUGCCAGAGACGGGCCCUGCUUCCUCUUAUCAACCGGGGAAUUUUCAUGUCCACCCGAUGGAGGAAUAAGAAAGGGUUUUGAAAACUCAAGGAGCCUAAGCAACAGAGCUGGCAUGAGCAGAAAUAUACUAAAAUUGCCUUCAGUGUCUUCUUCGCUCUACAGCUCUCCUUGUCCAUUGAGGCUUUCUCCGUCUCCCAUACCAUCCAUUUUAUAGCAUGGAUUAGUAGCUGAGAAUGGUCCAAAGCUUUAGUCCUACAGCCUGUCCUGUCUUGCAUAAAACCAGGUAAUAAGCCUGAAGAUUGCAUGUUUCUAGUUAGCACCUUGCUGCUGGUGAUUCUACUGUUGACAUUAGGUGGGACAAUCCUCGAUGAUUUCUAGAUGGGAUCACUCUGACACAUGAUGUCACCAGUGGUAUGUAUGCUACAUGUGUUUGGCGCAUAGAUGGAAAUAAAGCAGCUACAUGCAAUUCCCAAUAAUUGAUGAUCUCGCCCAUGGCUUGGGGCAUACAGUUGUCCACUCGUGAAAACGCUGGCUCUCUUGAAAAUGGGUGACGCUUGUGUUUACUGGUGCACCAGGUCAACGUCUGAAGAUUUCUUUCUCAGGAUCUUUUAUGCCGCAUGGCCCUGAGGGAGUUCAGACAAACAUGCGGUUUGAGGGGCCGUUGCAUGGAAGCCAAACUGAUUGCGAGAAAUACUCUGUUAACCAAGGUCCCAGUUAACCUUGGGUGCAUGCAAAGGUUUUUUGAGAAGAAGGACACUGCCCUCUCUGCAUGUAGCUAUAUAUUUUUUAAGCAGAAACAAAAUGCGACAUUUAUGUUGAAGGGCAGGGGAAAGAAGGUCAAGUAUUCAUUGUAUUCUUUGCAUGCAGAUUUCUGCAAACGCAGCCCUGUCAUUGCUAAAUAUAUGCCAGCAGGGGCAGUCAGAGUAACUUAAUGAGCUGGACGCUCUGUGGGUAAUUAUCUGCCCACUGGGAACAUUUCAAGAGAAGAAGACCCACCUCUUUAGGACAAGCAAAACUACUUCAAGCCACAAAGGCUUCCGAGGACCAUUGUGUGAUUUGACCCAGAAUUGUUGGCUUCCUAAAGCCCAAUGUUUCCAAACAAAAGGUAGAAGAUUUGUAAUUUGUCUGCUAGCAUGAACUGCAUGUUAUAGAAACUGUAAUUCUAAGAUUAACUUUUAAAUCAAAGUUCUAUUUCCUUCCAAGAUACUUUACUUUUACAAAACUUUGAUGUGAUCACAAUGUAAGAAUUAACUAUAUUUAUUUGCAAUGGAUAGCUUUUUUUUUGUAAUUAUUCAUGAAACAGUGCAAGAUUAGAGAAAACAAACUGU
Molecule: RNA transcript, 3319 nt
Organism: Leucoraja erinaceus (little skate)
Lineage: Eukaryota; Metazoa; Chordata; Chondrichthyes; Rajiformes; Rajidae
Gene name: potassium voltage-gated channel subfamily C member 1-like
Exons: 5
Source: RefSeq, a predicted model, not a curated record